This 74-nucleotide small RNA is filed under the name Olleya marilimosa. Its description in RNAcentral is "Flavo-1 RNA". It matches the Rfam family "Flavo-1 RNA". The record is from RNAcentral. RNAcentral also lists the same sequence under 1 other name. Lineage: Bacteria; Pseudomonadati; Bacteroidota; Flavobacteriia; Flavobacteriales; Flavobacteriaceae.
AGUAAGCGCGUUAAGGAUUGAAGUGGCAUCCUUUUGCUUUUUUGCAAAAGAUAUAACGUAAAGCCUGACCUACU